This 3532-nucleotide long non-coding RNA is filed under the name Arabidopsis thaliana (thale cress). RNAcentral describes it as "potential natural antisense gene, locus overlaps with AT1G26210 (AT1G26208)". Lineage: Eukaryota; Viridiplantae; Streptophyta; Magnoliopsida; Brassicales; Brassicaceae. The record is from RNAcentral.
AAAGCAACGCGUCUGUGUGCUGCAACGCCACCUCGAUUUUCGCCGUGUCACGACGAGGGAAUCCCACGGCUGCAAAGACUGAAUUCAGCUGGUCUAAGUUAAGUCCUUCUGUUGUUCGACGGAGAAGAAAGCCUCUGGAUUCGAGAUCUUCGUCGCUGAUUGAGUAACUUGGUGGCUUUCGUUGCAUUGCAGCUGGAAACGUCGCUUGUGAUGAUGAUUGUGUGACUGCGUUUUGUGGGUUUAAUGUGGACCUUAACCGGAGAGAAGCUGGAGGAGUGGAGAUUGUGCCUCCGAGAAACAUGGUAUACACUAUUUUUUGUUCAAGUGUUGAAUUUUAGGAGCUCGAUUACAUGGAAUCAGACAAAAGGAUGGUUUUUUAGUUUCCCUGAAUUUGGAUAAAGUGUGUGUUUUGUGUGUGGCUGUGGAUAAACGGAGAACCUCUCUAGUCUCUCUAGCUUUUACUUUUCUGUUUUUUGGAGGAAAUAAAAUAAAAUCGGUACGAAGAAACUCGUGGCUGUCAGAGACUAUUGUCGUUUGGUAGUUGAGAGUCAAAGAGAUACUCUUUUGGCGGGCAAUGUAGUAGCUUCAAACGAAUCCAGAAAUGGAGUGAACAAAACCUGAAUAACUUAUAUUUUUUUGUGUUUUACUUCAGUGAUUUUCCUUGUUGUGUGAUUUUUUUAGUUCUUCACAAUGGUUCUAGUGGUUAAUCAAGAUUUGAUCAUUGAGUGAUGCAAACAAGCAGUUAGUGAUUGUUCUUGUGCUGUUUUAUGUUUACCAUGUUUGAAGGUCUCUGGCAUGUGAUCAGCAGAGGAUGAGUGAUUCUUUUCUAUAUGUUUGCUGCAUUCUUUCUUGCUCAUCAAAGAUUUUUAGAGCCACAGAGCAUUUAAGUAUCUCUCCUGCAAUUCAGGAAUGGUAUCCAUUUCUUGAUCUCGGAGGUUCCAUUGCUUUGUUUCUCCUAUCUAUCUGCCUAUUCAAAGAUGGUUUUAAGGAUUGUAUAAGUUUUGAUUAAUGACUGAGUUUGUUUCUUAUUUGAAAAUUGAAAUUAUCAUCUGAUAGAUAUAUCAUGCAUAUUUUAUGGUAUUGUUUAUAUAUUCAAAAGCAACCAAACUAGAAUAAACAGUGGCAUAUGGCUAGUCCAAGACUCUGAUUCAUUGCAGCUUGUUCUAACUACCGAACGUGCACAUCUUCAUUGCCAUUGUAACUACGUUUGUCUUCUGUUCUGUAGCUUGUAACUAGCAGGAAUGGAACGUGCACAUGCUAUUGUUGACAGAAAUGCUGGUUCUUCGCCUUUACUCGCUGAACUCGUCUGGUCCUUCAAUCUUCGUGAAGGUUGGGACGGCCCAUCUUUCGUUUUCUGUCUAUCUGUUUAUUGCUCCUACGUGCAUUAUGAUGGAUUGGAGAUUACAAAAGUCGAAAGCGACCUGAGAAUAACAUCAACGUGAGGGUCUUCCUCUUCUGGAAAGUUGCCAGCUAUGUUCUUUUCUGCUCCCAUUUAUUGUGCCUCAUUAAGCUUAAUACGUUGCAUUUACAAUGAUUAUCUAAACCUCAAUUGAUAUAUUCACCAUCUUUUUUGUUUUCCAGGAUCAAAACCUGAUCUUGUUAUAUCAAAGGGUUGAUAAAGCUAUCGGUUCAAUUGCGCUUAUCAGGAUAUGCUCUGUUUUGUGUUAGAAGGAAGUCUCUGAAGAACAAGGUACAUAUUAUAUAACAGGGUUCCAACGGAGAACCGUGCAGAUAACUUAUUUGGGACAGCUUCUACAAAAAAACAUAUUCCGGCAAAAGAAAACAAUGCAACUACCUACACAUGGCUUAUUAAAGGCAAACAACACGAUUGGUAGACUUGUUUAGAACCAUUCUUCCUAGCUGCAUGUUUGUUGAUGUGCUUUGGAAGCUGAUUGCUAGGCCCCGAGGAUGCAUCAGAAGCCAUGGAAUCAUCACUCUCUUCAUCACCACCAUCAUCACUAGUAUCGCCAUCAUCGUUCUCAUAACCAUCAUCAGCCUCUUUAACCUGUGUAUCAUCAUCAUCAUCAUCGACAACAACAGAUGAUUGGUCAUUUCCAUGGAAGGCGUCUUCUAUGUACAUAGUCCACCCUGACUCACAACUGCUGUAUUCCUCCUCUUCAGAGCCUCCAUGGUUUCUCGGAGACUCCAUGGCUUCACGCAACAGAAAGAGGAAAACAAAACCAAGUAUCAAGAAAAGCCGGAGCCUAUAGGAAGCCUCAUAUAAUUGAAGAGAAGGAGUAAGUUUCACCACAUGGCAACCCUAGCACCAUUGUUUUCACUCAAUUGAAGCACUACCAGACAAAGCUCAUUGCAGAUAUAUAUCAAGGGAAGGAAGGUUAGUGCCUCCCUUCAUUAUAAAGUACACUCUCUUAUAGAAUUAAAAGCCUAUGCUCUUCUUUUUCAAUAUCAACUAACUAUACUUUUCUUUAAACAAAUAUUUUGGUUCCUAACAAACCAUAAUCUAGUCUUAGAGUCAGGACACAUCAAUAUCCACAGAACAAGAAUCAUCCUUGUAAGCUCUGUCAUUAGUUAUAUGACUUCUUAAUUGAUAUGUGAAGUUAUAAGUUAUCUCUAUCUCUCUCUCUCUUCUCUUCUCUCUAUGUAUGACUCUGGCUAUCUUAAAUAGAAAAGAUCAGCUUUUGAGGUGGAAAUCAGAAGAGACCCACAUGAACAAACAAGAAGGAAUAAAAGAAGCAUUUACUUAAUUAGGUUAAGAGCUGUUCCUCUUUCUCAUUCCUUUAAUACUCUUCUUCAUCCUCCAAUCCUCUCUCAUUGUCUUUAAAAUUGUUGCAGCCUUUUACUUCAUCUCUCAUUGUAUUGAAAAGGUUUACACAACUGGAUUUUGUUUGUCAUUUUUGUUUUAAAAGAUAAGGACAAAACAAAAAGAAGUAAACAACUGUCACAAACCCCAAAAUAAAAGUAAAAGACAGAAUUUGCAAAUUACAAGAAUAAAUUGUCUUCAUUGCGUUUCCUGUUUCUCUGGCGUCACCUUAAAAUGUUCUUUCAGUGGAGGCCCUCUUGGUGACAGCUUGCAAAUCAAGUGUGUGAUGAGAGUUCAUUUUACAAAAGGGUUGUUUUGUUUUGACUUUGACUCUUGUUUGAAUAUUGUGUAAACAAAGAUAUUAAGACAUUAUACAUUAGUUUGACUCUACUUUUAAUAAUGUAUCAGCUUUGUGUGCUUUUAAGACAUUUUCGAGUCUCAUAGAAUUUGAAAGUGGGCGUGUAGAAUUUGGAGAGAUGUGUACAAAUCGUUAAUAGCUAAAAAGAAUGGAGUUGGACUCGUUGGAUUUACUCGUGUGUCUCUUUCUACAAUUGCCCUAUGUGUGUGUGUGUGACUGUGGAAUGUCACUGUACGUCACUGUUAAGUAUCACCGAUUCAUUUAUUUAUUUUGAAGUUUAAUUUGACAAGUCACAGAUUCGAAAGCAUCAUCGGGACAAUGGCUUGACCUCAUUGAUAAUUUUGGUUGGCAAGUCGGUGAGACUAAGGAUGGAACUUGAUAACAAGUGAAUUAGUUUUUAAAUCGAUAUUCAU